RNAcentral lists this non-coding RNA (120 nucleotides) under Deltaproteobacteria bacterium. RNAcentral's name for it is "c-di-GMP sequence". It matches the Rfam family "c-di-GMP-I riboswitch aptamer". Rfam says of the family: GEMM was predicted in a large-scale screen for bacterial structured RNA regulatory elements. Lineage: Bacteria; Pseudomonadati; Myxococcota; Myxococcia. The record is from RNAcentral.
GCUUGAAAAGGGCAAUCUGCACGAAAGUGCAGUACGCAAAACCAUCGGCCUAAGUCCGGAAGCGGAUAUGGCGGCCAUCGGCCUAAGUCCGGAAGCGGAUAUGGCGGCAGGGUUGCCAAG